UUAAUCCAAUUGCAGUGGAAACUUUCUGCUGUAAUGGGUGUUUUUGACAAUUACAGCAGAAAGUUUCCACUGCAAUUGGAUUAAU
This 85-nucleotide microRNA precursor is filed under the name Phlebotomus papatasi. RNAcentral's name for it is "microRNA mir-449". Lineage: Eukaryota; Metazoa; Arthropoda; Insecta; Diptera; Psychodidae. The record is from RNAcentral.